Long non-coding RNA from Spinacia oleracea (spinach), 525 nucleotides. RefSeq lists it as uncharacterized. The transcript is spliced from 4 exons. The record is from RefSeq and is a predicted model, not a curated record. Lineage: Eukaryota; Viridiplantae; Streptophyta; Magnoliopsida; Caryophyllales; Amaranthaceae.
UCCACUCUAUUGAAGAAUCUUUCAAUAUUGAGAAUGAUCAAGUGAAGAAAGAUAUAUUUCUAAAAGGUGUGGGCAUAAGAUUCAGGGAUUUGAAAUCCAAGUUCGUGAGUGGUUGGAUCACUAAAAAGAGACAAAGAUUUGGAAGAAACAACUAUCAAGGAAAACGAAGAAGAGAAAAAUGAAAGCGAAAAGAAGCAAGCAAAUAGAUCAAGACUAUGGGAAAUCAGUGAAGUGUGCACAACAAACCGACAAUACCAAGUGAGGCUUCUACGUGAUGAAGUUCAUGCACGAUAUAGUCACAAGUUGUACGGAAGUCGAAGAUCUUGAAAAGGUAUUCAACAAUCCGAGGGAGAGACCUUUUACCAUUGAGUAGAUAAAUGAAGUUCGAGAGAAGUUGGCAAACUUCAAUACUAUUUAUUGUCUUUGAUAUUAUCUUGUAGUGAAUUUUAGAUUAUGGAUGCUAGUUUUAAUUGGAUUGUAAUGUAAUCAAUUUUUAUAUUUACAAUUACAUACUAUUCAAUUUAA